UGGGAUCUGGGUGGGGUUUGGUGGGAUGUGGGUGGGAUGCGCGUCUUCGCCGUCAACGCCAUCGGGGUGUCGCAGCCCAGCCACAACACGCAGCCCUUCAUGCCCAUCGGUAUGGGGCAGGGGGGGUUUGUAGGGUUUUUGAUGGGAUUUGUUGGGAUCUCAAUGGGAUUUGUUGGGAUCUCAAUGGGAUCUGAUGGGAUUUGUUGGGAUCUGGAUGGGAUUUGUUGGGUUCUCGAUGGGUUUUGUUGGGUCCUGGAUGGGAUUUGUUGGGUUUUGUUGGGUCCUGGAUGGGAUUUGUUGGGUUUUGUUGGGUCCUGGAUGGGAUUUGUUGGGAUCUCAAUGGGAUUUGUUCAGUUCUCAAUGGGUUUUGUUGGGUCCUGGAUGGGAUUUGUUGGGAUCUCAAUGGGAUUAGUUCAGUUC
Molecule: long non-coding RNA, 420 nt
Filed under: Numida meleagris (helmeted guineafowl)
Lineage: Eukaryota; Metazoa; Chordata; Aves; Galliformes; Numididae
Description: lncRNA (ENSNMEG00000001430.1)
Source: RNAcentral